UACAGAGGUCUCAAUCGUUGUUCGGAAUCACUGGGCGUAAAGGGUGUGUAGGCGGCGUGAAAAGUCAGAUGUGAAAUCCAGGAGCUCAACUUCUGAAAUGCAUCCGAUACUGUCAUGCUGGAGGUCUGUAGAGGAGUCUGGAAUUCUCGGUGUAGCAGUGAAAUGCGUGGAUAUCAGGAGGAACACCGGUGGCGAAGGCGGGUCUCUGGGCCGAAAUUGACGCUGAGGAGCGAAAGCGUGGGGAGCAAACAGG
This 253-nucleotide ribosomal RNA is filed under the name uncultured bacterium. RNAcentral describes it as "partial 16S ribosomal RNA". It matches the Rfam family "Bacterial small subunit ribosomal RNA", at positions 524 to 776 of the family's 1533-position model. The record is from RNAcentral.